GUGGGGAAUCUUCCGCAAUGGACGAAAGUCUGACGGAGCAACGCCGCGUGAGUGAAGAAGGUUUUCGGAUCGUAAAGCUCUUUCGUUAGGGACGAACGUGCUCUUUGUGAAUAAUGAGGAGUAAUGACGGUACCUAAAUAAGAAGCCACGGCUAACUACGUGCCAGCAGCAGCGGUAAUACGUAGGUGGCAAGCGUUGGCCGGCAUUAUUGGGCGUAAAGCGCGCGCAGGCGGGAUAUCAAGUCUGUCUUAAAAGUGCGAGGCUCAACCUCGUGAGAGGACAGAAACUGGUAUUCUUGAGUGUCGGAGAGGAAAGUGGAAUUCCAAGUGUAGCGGUGAAAUGCGUAGAGAUUUGGAAGAACACCAGUGGCGAAGGCGACUUUCUGGACGAUGUCUGACGCUGAGGCUCGAAAGCUAGGGGAGCGAACGGGAUUAGAAACCCGAGUAGUCC
RNAcentral lists this ribosomal RNA (450 nucleotides) under uncultured bacterium. RNAcentral's name for it is "partial 16S ribosomal RNA". It matches the Rfam family "Bacterial small subunit ribosomal RNA", at positions 354 to 796 of the family's 1533-position model. The record is from RNAcentral.